Molecule: ribosomal RNA, 253 nt
Filed under: uncultured bacterium
Lineage: Bacteria
Description: partial 16S ribosomal RNA
Rfam family: Bacterial small subunit ribosomal RNA
Source: RNAcentral
UACGUAGGGGGCAAGCGUUGUCCGGAUUUAUUGGGCGUAAAGAGCGUGUAGGCGGCCAGGUAGGUCUGCUGUGAAAACUCGAGGCUUAACCUCGAGCUGUCGGCGGAAACCAUCUGGCUAGAGUCCGGAAGAGGAGAAUGGAAUUCCCGGUGUAGCGGUGAAAUGCGUAGAGAUCGGGAGGAAUAUCAGUGGCGAAGGCGACAAACUGGACAAUAACUGACACUAAACUACGAAAGCGUGGGGAGCAAACAGG